CACGUCUUAAAUGGAGGCCUAAUUAUGCUUUUCAAACCAGAUUUAAUCUGAGAUUAUCCCACAUAUUAUAUUCUGUUGUGAACAUUUUGUAGUUUGCCUUGAUGUUAAAAAGGCCCAUCCUCCGUCUAUUACUGGAACCUUCAAUAAAUAAGACGCACAUUCAGCACCAUCUGCUUUGUAGCAGAGAUGCACAGCAGUCAACAAUGAGGAAUUUUUGUGCUGGUCAAAUCCCUGGUGGGGCUCAUUUGCAGUUUUGGGAUUGCUUACUGCAAACCAAGCUUGCAUGAUCAGCACAACAGACCUGUAUGGAUUAAAUAACCUUUUCUGUCAUUAUUACAUUACAGGUCAUUUUGGCUGACACUUUUUUAUCCAAAGCGACUUACAUUACAUUAUCAACCCAUGGCUUUUUUGCCCGGGGAGGAAUUACGGGUUAGGUGUCUUGCUCCGUCACUGAUGAGGCUGAUCACCGUUGUGUCCUCUGAGAACAUCAGGGUUUUGACAGUUGGGUCCUCCGAUGUGUGGAGAGGUGUGCACGAUGAGCUGUGAAAUUUUAAAUAUGGUUUCCAGGUUUCCAGAAACCAAAUCCUUGCAUAUGUAUAUGGGAUGUGAGGUGAUGCAGCAUGUGGCACAGUCUCAUUUGGACUGCAUCACCCACCGACCUGUUUGCCCUGUAGGCAAACUGCAUGGGGCCCAGCAGGGGCCCUGUAAUGUUCUGCAGGUGAGCUGAAUGUCACCACGCACAUCAUUCUCCUUCAGUUUGAUGCUGCUUCUGUCACGGUUUUGGUUUGUUUCCGGUUUUAUUUUGUAGUUUUCUGCCUCUUGUGUCCCUGGGUUACUUCACUUCCUGCCUUGUCCUGUCAUCCCAUGUGAUUGUCUGCCGUGUCCCAGGUUGUUUUCACCUGCACCUCCCCAGUGUAUUUAAGCCCUGUGUGUCUUUCGUCCCUGGUCGCAUCAUUGAAUGUUCUACGUGAAUGUCUUGCCUGUUCCUGGUCCCUGUCGGCGUUUUGCCCCUCGGCAGUUAGAUUUUUUGAAUUAAUAAAGUAAGUUUUGUUGUCUGAAUUUGGGUCCUGCUUCUGCUUACCCUGUUCGUGACAGCUUCCUCCUAAUCACCAGUCUGCACCCUGAAUAAAUUAAAUCCUCGUUGGCCCGCACUGCAUGCUGGGAUAUGCUGGGACACAAAGGAUCGGCUCCUGGAGGACUGUGUCCAUCGACCGCGUUGGGGGGAGCCGACGCAUUGGGACAGGCGAGUCGCAGCUGAAGCGACGUAUGCGGUCGACGAAUGAGUCCUUAAGGAUGCGGCCUAGCAACUUUGAGACACAGCUAAUAACUCAACAAAGGUCAAAGCGGCUUAAAUACACUGGGAGGGUGCAGGUGAAUCGACACAAGAAAGAAACUAUCAGGGACACGGCAGACAAUCGCAGGACAAGGCAGGAAGUGAAGCUAACUCAGGGAUACAAAAGGCAGGAAACUAAAAAAUAACUUUGAGGAGUUGAAACCCGGGUAGCGCGUUGUCCGAGAUGUGCUCACUGAGCUAAGUUUCCAUGGAGCACAGGGGGGCGGAUCUGCUGAAGACUGUGAGCUUUGUUGAGGAGCAGAAGUUACUCCAUUUUGUUGGUCAUAGAGCGAACGUUAGCCAGAUGAAUUGAGGGGAGCGCAUUUCUGAAUCUACGUCAACGCAGUUUAACAAAGGCUCCGGAUCGUUUACCCCGUCAGUGUCUCUGGCAAAUCCCAAGCAGAGCAGCUUCUCACCCAACCAAAAGCUCUAUGAAACUUUUCGGUAUGAUGAAAUACGGUGAAAAAGUUUGACCAGUAUAUUGUUCAAUGUUCUUGCUGCGUCUUUCGGCGGGUACUGCCAGCUGAAUGUGAUCAGAGAGGGAGAGCUGGAUCAUUUUGGUGCUGUGUGCAAAAAUAUCUUUUUGCUUCUGCUGCUGUGGGUAGCUGGAAAAUAAUCAAAAAAGCAGCUUGGAUGAUACAAAAACAAAAAAAGGUCAGCAUAUUUAACUCAGACACAAACUUUUUUUCAUAUCAAAAUGUAUUUAAGAGAAUAAAAAAAACAAUAACUUAUCUGUGAUAGUUGCAUGUACGUCAAUAUGAAUCAAAAAGUCCAAAGGUUGGAUGGGCAUUGCCAGAUAUCAGACGUAGCUAUUGCCUGGUAAUGUCUUCCACUUCUGUAUGGCACUGGAAUAUGCUUUUACCUGACAAAUGACCACAGACCAGCGGAGCCACCUGAACCUGACACGCUUUCUGUGUAAAAAAAAGAAGUGAGGCCAGUUGGGAAGGGAAGGCUGUAGUCACUGCAAAGACGGUCACGGCCAUUCGUGAACCAAGCUUUAAGUGACGUUUGUGUGUGUGGUGUACGCUCCCCCCCCAAGAAUCCGCACCGUGACAGUGGCGGCCAACGUAGCGGGAGGACGACAAUGGAAGGCGACGAGCGGCAGCAGGGGAUACCGGCCCAGCCGAUCUUGGCGCUGGGAUGGAUGAUCGGCGAGCUGGCGGCCAUCCAGCGCGACCAGGCUGAGGCUAACCGACAGUUCCUGGGGGCGCUCCAAGCCCAGGUGGGGAGACAGGCUCUGGGUUUCGGUUUCGGCAGACUAGGUUGGAGCCAGAGGACCGGCCGUUCGCGUACGGGCAGCGGCUCAAGGACGCCGCGAGCAGAUGGCUGCUGGCUAACGGCGACGGGGGAGUGGAAGCCGUGAUGGAGAAGGUGGUGUUUGCGGUUUGCGGAGGGGCUCCCGACCCGGACGGCAGCGUGGGUGAAAUACCACCGCCCGCCGACCCUCAAGCUGCCAUCACCCUUGCAGAGGAUCACCUGGCGGUGCACCCCGACAGACAGCGGGACCAGGGGGGUACGCCAUCCCCGGCCCGACCAGCGCAACGGGGAGGGGGGCAGCAGCAGCCGGCGGAGCGACCCGUGCCGACCCCACGACGGACAUCGUUCCUCCCGGCUCCGCUACUCACCGACCCCAGAGAGCACCGACGCCCUUCCAGGUGGCCGGAGGUUCCAAAAGCAGGCCGGACCGACCUCAUAGUACACAGUAUCGAGACGCCCCCGGGCGUGACAGCGAGGUCACGACCCUACAGGUUGCCCGAACACAAGAAAGAAGUGGUUCGGAGAGAAUUGGUGAGUAUGUUGGAGUUGGGGGUAAUAGAAGAGUCCAACUGGUGCAGCCCCAUUGUCCUUGUGGCAAAGAAGGAUGGAUCUGUACGGUUCUGCGUGGACUAUCGCAGGGUUAAUGACGUGUCACGGUUCGAUGCCUACCCAAUGCCCCAGGUCGACGAGCUCCUGGACCGGCUAGGCACUGCACGUUUCUUCACGACACUGGAUUUAACCAAGGGCUACAGGCAGAUUCCUCUGUCGCCAGAGUCCAAGGAGAAAACGGCAUUCUCCACCCCGUACGAUGCAUUCCCCGGCCCCGAGGUGGCCCGAUGGCCGUCCUGCUCCACUCCGCUGAGAGCGUGCAUAACGACGAGGGAAAAGCGAGGGCAUGAUGCCAGGCCAGAAAUACCUCAAGAAACAAGAUGCAAACCUAGCAGCUGCUGCAGAGAAACUGAUUUAUUGUUAUUAAGUUCAAUAUCAUAAACCUUCCGUCAGAGACACACUGC
Molecule: long non-coding RNA, 3603 nt
Organism: Gasterosteus aculeatus aculeatus (three-spined stickleback)
Lineage: Eukaryota; Metazoa; Chordata; Actinopteri; Perciformes; Gasterosteidae
Source: Ensembl